This 227-nucleotide ribosomal RNA is filed under the name uncultured Lactobacillus sp. Its description in RNAcentral is "partial 16S ribosomal RNA". It matches the Rfam family "Bacterial small subunit ribosomal RNA", at positions 135 to 355 of the family's 1533-position model. Lineage: Bacteria; Bacillati; Bacillota; Bacilli; Lactobacillales; Lactobacillaceae. The record is from RNAcentral.
AGAUCGGGAUAACACCUGGAAACAGAUGCUAAUACCGGAUAACAACAGAUGAUGCCUAUCAACUGUUUAAAAGAUGGUUCUGCUAUCACUCUUGGAUGGACCUGCGGUGCAUUAGCUAGUUGGUAGGGUAACGGCCUACCAAGGCGAUGAUGCAUAGCCGAGUUGAGAGACUGAUCGGCCACAUUGGGACUGAGACACGGCCCAAACUCCUACGGGAGGCAGCAGUC